RNAcentral lists this ribosomal RNA (460 nucleotides) under uncultured bacterium. RNAcentral describes it as "partial 16S ribosomal RNA". It matches the Rfam family "Bacterial small subunit ribosomal RNA", at positions 338 to 795 of the family's 1533-position model. The record is from RNAcentral.
CCUACGGGAGGCAGCAGUGAGGAAUAUUGGUCAAUGGACGAGAGUCUGAACCAGCCACGUCGCGUGAGGGAUGACUGAUCUCUGGGUUGUAAACUUCUUUUAUAUGGGAAUAAAACAGGGUAUGCAUACCCUCUUGUAUGUACCAUAUGAAUAAGGAUCGGCUAACUCCGUGCCAGCAGCCGCGGUAAUACGGAGGAUCCGAGCGUUAUCCGGAUUUAUUGGGGUUAAAGGGAGCGUAGGUGGAUUGUUAAGUCAGUUGUGAAAGUUUGCGGCUCAACCGUAAAAUUGCAUUUGAAACUGGCAGUCUUGAGUACAGUAGAGGUGGGCGGAAUUCGUGGUGUAGCGGUGAAAUGCUUAGAUAUCACGAAGAACUCCGAUUGCGAAGGCAGCUCACUGGACUGCAACUGACACUGAGGCUCGAAAGUGUGGGUAGCAAACAGGAUUAGAUACCCCAGUAGUC